CCCGGGCCUUGUACACACCGCCCGUCACAUCACGAAAGUGGGUUGUACUAGAAGUCGCAAUCCUAACCCGAAAGGGGGGGUAGCGCCCAAGGUAUGACCCAUGAUUGGGGUG
RNAcentral lists this ribosomal RNA (112 nucleotides) under uncultured bacterium. RNAcentral describes it as "partial 16S ribosomal RNA". It matches the Rfam family "Bacterial small subunit ribosomal RNA", at positions 1373 to 1482 of the family's 1533-position model. The record is from RNAcentral.